UAAGUAGUGAAACGUUAAAGCCUUUCUCAAACCUCUCACAAAUCUAGAAACGUAUAUCCAAAACCCAACGCCGAACUCUAUUUCCUCUCAGAUUCGGUUGUACUAUAAAUCAAUCUUUCAUGAAACUUAUCUCAAACCUUCAGCUCAGAUUUUACAAAUUUUAUUGUAUUGUUCUCACUUUCACCACUUCACUUUCUCAUCAGUUUGAUCUUAUCAACACCAGAACAAUGGAGGUGGCUCAGAAAAAUGCUUCAAAAUACCCCCAAUCUUCAAACUCUUAUCAUUCAUGAACUCUAUAAGCUUGAUGAAGAAUUACUACGUUUCUAUGUUAAAGGAUGGAAAGACCCAGAAAUUGUUCCAGAGUGCCUUUUAUCUCAUCUUACAACAUGCUCGCUUACAAAUUACAGCCUCAUCCAUUCUGAACUUCAAUUUGCACAAUAUAUAAUGCAGAAUUCAAGACUACUAAACACCAUCACAAUUCAAAGUGCCGAAUUCCUAGACACAAAUAGAAAGCUUCAAAUGUUAAUAGAAUUAUCUUCCUGCCCUAGGAUUUCACCCACAUCUAAAUUUUUUUUUAUCUGAAUGAUUUCAGCCACAUCUAUACUUUUUUUAUUUUAUUUGAAUGAUGCUUGAUAGAGCAUGCCUGCAAUAGCAACCCUAAGCUUGCCAAAACGUACUGGUAACUCCAAUAAAUAUGAUAUUCUACUUCAUAAAUUCUUUCUCAA
This is a long non-coding RNA of Lathyrus oleraceus (garden pea), 725 nucleotides long. RefSeq lists it as uncharacterized. The record is from RefSeq and is a predicted model, not a curated record. The transcript is spliced from 3 exons. Lineage: Eukaryota; Viridiplantae; Streptophyta; Magnoliopsida; Fabales; Fabaceae.